RNAcentral lists this long non-coding RNA (1814 nucleotides) under Rattus norvegicus (Norway rat). RNAcentral describes it as "long non-coding RNA NONRATT027580". Lineage: Eukaryota; Metazoa; Chordata; Mammalia; Rodentia; Muridae. The record is from RNAcentral.
AAGUAAGCCUGGCCCCUAUCUCCCACCCAUGUGGAUCAUGGAAAGAAGGGAAGCCAACCAUGUCUUCAGGAAGGAUCGAAAUGUCUGUUGGGGAGGGCUAUAGUGGAGGACCCAUGGAAGAGCCCUCUCAUACUUACUUGGACUCCUUAGAGACCAGCUCAGCCCUUCCCCCAGCCACACCAUACAAGGAAACUAAAGGAGCAAAGUCAUGGAUGCAGUGGGUCCUAUCUAGCAUCACAGUCAAUGCUCCAACGUGGGAUCAAUGGAGGAGGCUGGAGGAAAGGAAGCGGGAGGACGUGGAACCAAAGUACUCCUCCCAUGCCACUGCCACUGUGAGCUUACGGAACUUGAUUCUGUAAAACUGUAAAGACUUGAGUUCUGUGACAUCAUUCCUUGGGCUCUAUUUUUGGGAAGGGUGCCUGCAGAGAUGUUAAGCGUUGCCUGGCUAGCGAGGGAAUCACGUAUUCACUGUGACUUAGUGAAUGGCCUCAUUUCUUCCUGCUGUGCAAUGGAAGGGAAUGAGAUAUAUCCUGCACGUUUAAAAGGAAUGUAAAGAGGGCCGAGUGGGUCUAAGGUGCUAUAGGUCUUGGAGAGCCAGGUCCUGUUUUCUGCAGCCCCAGCUCGGCUCCCUGGAGUCACCGAUUCCAGAUGGUGUCUUAAAAUUAGACAGGCAGGCAGCUAAAUUCCAGGGAAGGUAGAAUCACCUGGGAUACUUGGCUAGUGAACACUUUUUAGACACAACUGCAGGACAGAUGGACCCUGGUGGAGGACAUGGGUCCUGAACCAGUGAAGGCCACUAGAGGGCAGGCUACCUGUAUCUCUCUCACACGUGCUGGGUAAGGUCAUGGGCAGAACUGUGCUGUAGAGCACCAUCGAGGCCAAAGAAGAUAGCUCUGGUGUGUGUGGAGGGAGGGUGUGCCGGCAGCAGGGCCCAAUGGUGCUCCUUCCCUAAACCCUGCAGCUCUUCCUGAAGACCACCCCGAGUUAGGAAGUAUGACCCGGGUGGCUGAUUUCUGAGCUAUGCUCAGUGAACCAGCCUGACUGGCUUGCAGGAUCUUGAAAAUGGGUGUGGCGCACCCAUUCAAUUCUUUUCCUGUUUUAGAUUUCUUUCUUUCUUUAGCUUUCUGGCAAAAUUCCUCUUGAAACCAUUCCAACCCUGUUUGCCAGACUGAAGGGGAAAGGGUUUCAGCACACACCAAUAUUCAGGUCAAAGUGGAGGGCCAUGUCAUGGCUCUGAAGGUCCAAGCUAUUUAGAGAACUGAGGAUGAAGCAAGCAGCCAAGGUGUGGGUCAGCUAUGGGGUGAGAGUGACAGCGACCGUGACGCAAGUCUAUGGCAGACACCCUCUGUGAAGGAGCCUGGGGCUAUGAAGCAUAUACUUUAUUCUUGGCUGGCAUGUCACUCAUAUACUCUUUGUUUUGUUUUGUUUUGUUUUGUUUUUAAACUUGUAUUUGUUGUGAUGUGAGUGAGCAGAUAGACCCUGGAGAAGGGCACCAAAGAAGAGGUUGGCUCAGUUCUCUGAAGAAGGGGCAAUAAUCUAUGUGUUGGCUAUAUGAAUACCCCUAUAGUAACAGUGUGUUGUGGUGUAGAGAUAAACUAUCCCUCCAACAGGCCUAGGUGGUAAAGGUAUCUGUUGUCAUUAUUGAGAGGUUACUGGAUCAUGCCAGCACAGUUUCAUGUAUGGGCUACUAACAGUGUGGUAUGACUGGAGAAAGAAAGCCACUGGGAUCAUGUCUCUAACAGGCAUAUCUUGCCUUAGCCACUUGUAUGCUUCUUUCUGCUUCUUGGAUAUUAUAGGUGGGUAACUCUGCUCCA